AUGAACGCUGGCGGCGUGCCUAAUACAUGCAAGUCGAGCGAACAGACGAGGAGCUUGCUCCUCUGACGUUAGCGGCGGACGGGUGAGUAACACGUGGAUAACCUACCUAUAAGACUGGGAUAACUUCGGGAAACCGGAGCUAAUACCGGAUAAUAUAUUGAACCGCAUGGUUCAAUAAUGAAAGACGGUUUUGCUGUCACUUAUAGAUGGAUCCGCGCCGCAUUAGCUAGUUGGUAAGGUAACGGCUUACCAAGGCGACGAUGCGUAGCCGACCUGAGAGGGUGAUCGGCCACACUGGAACUGAGACACGGUCCAGACUCCUACGGGAGGCAGCAGUAGGGAAUCUUCCGCAAUGGGCGAAAGCCUGACGGAGCAACGCCGCGUGAGUGAUGAAGGUCUUCGGAUCGUAAAACUCUGUUAUUAGGGAAGAACAAAUGUGUAAGUAACUAUGCACGUCUUGACGGUACCUAAUCAGAAAGCCACGGCUAACUACGUG
Molecule: ribosomal RNA, 496 nt
Filed under: uncultured bacterium
Lineage: Bacteria
Description: partial 16S ribosomal RNA
Rfam family: Bacterial small subunit ribosomal RNA
Source: RNAcentral